AUUGAACGCUGGCGGCAGGCCUAACACAUGCAAGUCGAACGGUAACAGGAUGAAGCUUGCUUCUUUGCUGACGAGUGGCGGACGGGUGAGUAAUGUCUGGGAAACUGCCUGAUGGAGGGGGAUAACUACUGGAAACGGUAGCUAAUACCGCAUAACGUCGCAAGACCAAAGAGGGGGACCUUCGGGCCUCUUGCCCUCGGAUGUGCCCAGAUGGGAUUAGCUAGUAGGUGGGGUAACGGCUCACCUAGGCGACGAUCCCUAGCUGGUCUGAGAGGAUGACCAGCCACACUGGAACUGAGACACGGUCCAGACUCCUACGGGAGGCAGCAGUGGGGAAUAUUGCACAAUGGGCGCAAGCCUGAUGCAGCCAUGCCGCGUGUAUGAAGAAGGCCUUCGGGUUGUAAAGUACUUUCAGCGGGGAGGAAGGGAGUAAAGUUAAUACCUUUGCUCAUUGACGUUACCCGCAGAAGAAGCACCGGCUAACUCCGUG
Molecule: ribosomal RNA, 490 nt
Filed under: uncultured bacterium
Lineage: Bacteria
Description: partial 16S ribosomal RNA
Rfam family: Bacterial small subunit ribosomal RNA
Source: RNAcentral